CUGGUGGGAUGGGUAACACAAGAGAGCCAGGGAAGCUGAGUGGGAAGUAAAGGGCAUGAUCUUGGGAGACUACUGAAUUUGUUCCUUCCCUGUGAAGCUGGCAGCCAUGGGAACUAAGCACCAUAGACCCUGACUACAGCUACAAAGUGGAAACAAUCUCCCUGCUGUUCAUCAACAACAUAAAUUAUGGCGUGUAUAAACAAUGAGAUGUUCUUCCACCAUGAAAGGAAAUCCUGUUGUAUGCUGUAAUAUGGGUAAAACUUGAAGACAUUGUGUUAACUAUAGUAAGCUCUCACACAAGGACAAAUACUGCCUUAUUAUAUUUAAGAUAAUUACAGGUCUGGUCGUCACUUAGGCCAACCUUUGUUCCGUAGUGGGAUCUUGGGGAAAAGCUGCCUGCUGAGAAGGGAGGUCUAAAGGAGACCAGAGGUAGAACCCUAGAUGGUCUCCUCCACCCAAUGGAGAUUGGAUCUCAAGACUCUUCCCUGUCCAUGGCCCUCUCUCUGCACGCGCCCGCCCACAGACUUUAGCUGCCCUAAAUUCACCUUUCUUGGAGCAGCAAGGAAGCUUGGAUGGAUGUUCAGUUCCGACUUUGAAACACGUUGGGAGGCAACAUUAUUUCUUUUCUUUGCUGCUGAUUUAGAAGCAUAAACUUGGUUACAUUUUCCGCUCCAAACGACUGGCUGUUUUAGGAACUAGAGCUGGCUGGGAGGUUGAGGAGUGUGGAAACUCUGAUGGAGAAGGUGAGGACCUGGCCAAUGGAAAGCAUUUUGGUGGGUCUAAUGAUUUUGGGAAAAUCUCUGCAAGGCUGGAACAUUUUGCCACACGUAAGUGGUUACUUCCUCACCUCUUGUGCAUUCACUGAGGGCUCUGUGAGACUGAAAGGGCUGGAAAACUCUUCCAGCGUGGGUUUGUCAAGAGGGAUAUUCAAGUUAGGGUUUCCAAAUGUGUUGCAUGUAACAAAAGCCUGUAUUUCUUUUCAUUCAAAGGAGAGCUGCCUCAUUCUGGUUCAUUUAAUUCUUGGAAACAUAGUUUUAUAUGUCCAGAAAGCCCUUUGAGGGAGUAUUGCAAAGGCUUUCACCCCCUCCUCGCUCCCCUCUCUGGAAGCAGGAAAUAAGUUCUGCCAAAUGCAAAUGAGCUCAGCCUCUAACAGGCAAAGUGUCAAAGCACAGAAUGCCACAGCAUUUUGAGAUCGCAUGCCUUAUACAACUGACGUUUGGGGGUCUGAAAAACUACAGGAAGUCACACCGACCUAUUUAAAAUGCCAUUUCAGACACACAAAUGUGUGUAGAACUUCCUGAGAUGUCUGUUAGGAAGUCAGAAGGCCUCUCCUUCCUUUCUAUGUUGGUUUCAGAACCCCAGGGAGCUUUAUCGGUGUCUUCGGUAGGAAGUUCGCUGCGUGGUUUUGGAACAGGGAGUCUCCCCUUUUGAGUCACAUAUCCUAAUGGGUCUGACAUAAUGCUGACCCCCUGAAAGAUGGCAUGGGCCACUGCAGGCCUUCCAAGGGUUAACAGAGCCAGUUCCAAAGGAGUGAGGCAACCACAGAAACAGGAUAAUAAAUGUGACACUCUCAGACUAUCACUAGCAAAUAUUUGAGCUUAUCAAAUAACGGAGGAAGUAGUUUAGUUACAAAUAAACCAAUCUCUCAUAAAACUAGUUUUCACACAGGGUCAUUUCAUUGAGCUGGAGACAGCUAGAGGCCACUCUAGGCAGAACUCCCACUCUGUGUACACUUCGUAACAGCUUCUCAUGAUUAAUGGACAGCAAGGGGGGAGGCUGGGCCCUGCAACUCUCUGGAGCUGGGCUUCCUAUCAGCCCAACAGCCAUAAACAGCAAGUCAGGAUUACAGCAUGGGAAGUGCCCGUCCUCCUCCGCUGGGAACACGGCCGGGUUUGCACUGACUUCCCCGCCACCCGCCUUCUUCCUAGCUGUUCACAGCUCUCUCUCUCUCUCUCUCUUUUUUUUCUCCCUGUAUAGCAGAGACCAUCGUGUCCUAGAAACUAUAGUAGAUGUCACUGCUUGGCACUUUCUGUGCAAAGAGAGGACAAGUAUGUGGGCGCAGGGGGGUGGCGGAAAGCUACUCUUAAAGCCACAGAGACUGCAUUGGCUAGGAGCUGGAGCCAGGCUGUUUUUCUGGAGCCCUUGAAAUCAGCAUGGCAAAAGCAUCUGAUUUGGAUUCCAGAAAAAACACAGGCA
Cricetulus griseus (Chinese hamster) is the source of this 2196-nucleotide non-coding RNA. NCBI's taxonomy places the organism in Eukaryota, Metazoa, Chordata, Mammalia, Rodentia, Cricetidae. The record is from RefSeq and is a predicted model, not a curated record.